AUCGCUUCUCAGCCUUAUGGCUAAGAUCAAGUGUAGUAUCUGUUCUUAUCAGUUUAAGAUCUGAUCCGUCCUCUAUCCGAGGAUAAUGUAUUAAAUGGAUUUUGGGACAGGGAGAUGGAAUAGGAGCUUGGUCCGUCCACUCCACACAUGGACCUGGUAUUGCAGUACACCAAAAAAAAAAAA
Molecule: small nuclear RNA, 183 nt
Filed under: Castor canadensis (American beaver)
Lineage: Eukaryota; Metazoa; Chordata; Mammalia; Rodentia; Castoridae
Description: U2 spliceosomal RNA (ENSCCNG00000013890.1)
Rfam family: U2 spliceosomal RNA
About the family: U2 is a small nuclear RNA (snRNA) component of the spliceosome (involved in pre-mRNA splicing). Complementary binding between U2 snRNA (in an area lying towards the 5' end but 3' to hairpin I) and the branchpoint sequence (BPS) of the intron results the bulging out of an unpaired adenosine, on the BPS, which initiates a nucleophilic attack at the intronic 5' splice site, thus starting the first of two transesterification reactions that mediate splicing.
Source: RNAcentral